Long non-coding RNA from Cygnus atratus (black swan), 2993 nucleotides. RefSeq lists it as uncharacterized. NCBI's taxonomy places the organism in Eukaryota, Metazoa, Chordata, Aves, Anseriformes, Anatidae. The record is from RefSeq and is a predicted model, not a curated record. The transcript is spliced from 3 exons.
CUGCAGAAGACUCUCCAAAAUGAAUUUACAUGGCUUUUUGCAGGUGAAGGCAAAAAAAUUCAGGCCAUGCCCCAAGAAACAGAAGCCCAAAUCACCUCUGAACUGGAAGCCAUGGACUACUGGUUAGACUGGUGCUGAGCCUGAAUCAAUGAACUUUGCAGAAAGGCACUUUUGUCUUGAUCUUGGACUUCUACCACUCACAGCUGAGUGGUUUGUAAGCCCCAAGCCUAAGAAGAAUAGAAAUUAUUGCUGUGAUCAGUCCAUUAUAAGAAGAUUGCAUAUAGAUUAAGAAACAGAGGAUUUGUGGAGAACUCAAAUUUGCAGAAGAUUGAAGACUCAUUUAAGGACACUUGGAAGCCUUUUAUGGAUUAUAUAUACAAAACAGAUGUUACAUCUUAGAAAAACUGGGAGCUGACAGAGAUCCUCAGACCCUUCAGAAGCCAAGGACUGUGUCUUGGGAUGUUAGGAUUAAAACAAAGUUAAUUUAUUGCUUAGAUGCACUGAAUUAAAGGUAAGUGGUUCUUCAAUAUUUUUUUCUGUGUUUAUACUUGCAUUUCCUGCCACUAGGACUACUCCACAAGUUUCUUUUUAAUCUCUGCUUUUUAAGGUAGCUACGACCAUUAUUUGGCAACUUGCCUGUUUUGGAAUACUGCCAUUUAUUCCUUAUAUUUGCUGAUCCCUCUUUAAGUAUGUUGAACAUUUAAUUUGGAGGAUCUAAUUUUUAUCUACGCCUUUUACCAGCUAAUCGCUUGUUGUUGGAUCACAGUGGCUAUGGCUAGCUGUCGGUAGCUAAUUCCUUUAUUCCUAACCUUUUUAGGUAGAGAAAUGAUGGACUUUAAGGAAAUGUAUUAUGUGCAAGUUUUCCUUUCCUUUUUAAAGGAGGACUUCUUUGACUUAUUUUAUUUUUUAUUUUUUUUAUAGUAUAUGCCAACUGUUCUUUGCAUGACUUCAAAUAUUGUAGACUUUGAAGGGGAAAAGAGAAAAAAAAUACUUUUGGAAUUAGGACAGAAAAAGGAGAAUCAGAAAACUCAUAUAACUCAUAUUCAGUUUCUUCAUUAACACUGAAUUGGUGUUUAACCAGUCCCAGAUCCUAAUCUCUCAGUCUUUACACUUGCAUUUGUAAACUAGACUUUUCUGGGGGUUGUCUUCUGUAUUUAGCUUUUUUUUUUUUUCUUUUUUUUUGGGUGGUGGUAGUGGUGGAAAGAUGGUUAUCUCAUUAAAAUAUUUCAAGUGCAAAAGAAUAUUUUGGAUAUUUAAGUAUGACUGUACUGUUUAUUAUUUAUUAUGUAUUGAGACUUAUUUAUUUCCAAAAUUGAGCAACUGCAUAGGUUCUCAAGACAUCACUGUUGUAGUUAAAAUAUGUUUCUAAACAUGCCACUCUGAUUCUGUUAAUGGCUGUUAUAAUCAUGUUUUCCUAAUAUUUAUGGGAAAGAAACCCUCUCAAAUGACUGAAAAGGCUCAGGCUACUUCAGAACAAAGAAAAGAGGGAAUUUAGUUGGAUCCAUACUAGCAAUUAAGGGUCCAGUAGGGUUUUUAUUGUUAUUUGCUUGUAGCUAUUGUAAAUAGCUGUGGUAGUUUAUUUGCUUGAAUUGGAGAGUAGCCUAGAUGUAGUGAAAAAUUUUAGGGUGGUUAUAGAUUGAUGGAGAUAUAGAUCAGGGCUGUGGGCCUCACAAAAUGACUGGGAAGAGGAGAAGCAGCAGCAAAAUAAGCCAGAAAAUGUUGUUUGCCAAUUCACUGCUCCUGCUGCAUAGGAAUUCUAAAUGGAAAGAAGAAAUACCUGCAGCACUUCUGCCUUUAAUGGAUGGCAUGCAGGGCUGCAGGUAGGCAGGCAGGCAGGGUGGGUUCCCUUAGCAAAAGAGAAGCUUUCAGGAAAACUGGGGUUGAAGAGAUCCAGAAGUCUUCUUCAAUGUUUAUUUGAGGUUUGCAUGUUCUAAUGGAUGAGUGGAUCAUUAAAACAGUUCCUUUUCUCAAUAGGAAGUCGUGCAAUAUGUUACACGUGAAUCAUAAAGACAGCUGAAGAAUUAGGUAGUCUUAAAGUAAUUGUUUAAGACUAAUCAAAUAUAAAAGAUUUUGAUCAUAAGAGCUUUUUGUCUGGUAUCUGGGUGUAGUGGGUUUAUGUGGCAAGGUUUUGGUAGCAGGAGGCCGUAGGCGUGGCUUCUGUGAGAAGAACGUAGAAGAUGCCCCAUGUAAGGUAAGGGCCCCACUGCUGACCAGAGCCAAGCCAAUAAGUGAUGUUGUUUUGCGCCUCUGUGAGAGCAUAUUUAAGAUGGGGAAAAAAAACACUGCGCCACACAGCAGCUGGGAGAGUGAGAGGAGUGAGGAACAGCCUUGCAGGCGCCAAGGUCAGUGAAGAAGGAGGGGGAGAGGUGCUCCAGGCACCGGAGCAGAAGUCCCCUGCGGCCUGUGGUGAGAACCAUGGUGAAGCAGGCUGUCCCCCUGCAGCCCAUGGAGUACCACGGUGGAGCAGGGUUCCAUGCUGCAGCCCGUGGAGGAGACCACGGUGGAGCAGGUGGACCUGCACCGAUGGAGGCUGCGGCCUGUGGAAGACCCCUGCCAGAGCAGAUUCCGGGCUGGACCUGUAGCCCGUGGAGAGGAGCCCACGCAGGAGCAGGGGGUCUGGGGGGAGUUGCCACCUGUGGGGGACCCGUGCUGGAGCAGUUUGCUCCUGAGGGAUGGACCCCGUGGUACGGACCCAUAUCUGGAGCAGUUCUUGAAGAGCUGCUGCCUGUGGGCAGCCCACAUCGGAACAGUUCAGCAAGGACUGCAUCCCGUGGGAUGGACCCCACAGCACAGGGGACGAGAGUGACCGAGAAGGAGUGGUGGCAAAGAAGCGCUAUAGACUGACCAUAACCCCCAUUCCCCCGUUCCCCUGCGCUGCUUGGGGGGAAGAGAUGGAAGAGGGUGGAUGGGGGGAAGGUGCUUUUGGUUUCUUUCCGUUGUUUCUCGCUUCUCUAGCUUGUUAGUAAUAGGCAAUAAAUCUUACUAUCUCCCUA